CAUCCAGAGAAUUUAGCAGAGAUGCUUUAGUGCCUUCGGGAACUCUGAGACAGGUGCUGCAUGGCUGUCGUCAGCUCGUGUUGUGAAAUGUUGGGUUAAGUCCCGCAACGAGCGCAACCCUUAUCCUUUGUUGCCAGCACGUAAUGGUGGGAACUCAAAGGAGACUGCCGGUGAUAAACCGGAGGAAGGUGGGGAUGACGUCAAGUCAUCAUGGCCCUUACGAGUAGGGCUACACACGUGCUACAAUGGCGCAUACAAAGAGAAGCGACCUCGCGAGAGCAAGCGGACCUCAUAAAGUGCGUCGUAGUCCGGAUUGGAGUCUGCAACUCGACUCCAUGAAGUCGGAAUCGCUAGUAAUCGUAAAUCAGAAUGUUACGGUGAAUACGUUCCCGGGCCUUGUACACACCGCCCGUCACACCAUGGGAGUGGGUUGCAAAAGAAGUAGAUAGCUUAACCUUCGGGAGGGCGUUUACCACUUUGUGAUUCAUGACUGGGGUGAAGUCGUAACAAGGUAGGCGUAGUGCU
RNAcentral lists this ribosomal RNA (525 nucleotides) under uncultured bacterium. RNAcentral describes it as "bacterial SSU rRNA". It matches the Rfam family "Bacterial small subunit ribosomal RNA", at positions 985 to 1509 of the family's 1533-position model. The record is from RNAcentral.